CAAUCGCCGCGGGAAUACGUAGGGUGCAAGCGUUAAUCGGAAUUACUGGGCGUAAAGCGUGCGCAGGCGGUUAUAUAAGACAGAUGUGAAAUCCCCGGGCUCAACCUGGGAACUGCAUUUGUGACUGUAUAGCUAGAGUACGGCAGAGGGGGAUGGAAUUCCGCGUGUAGCAGUGAAAUGCGUAGAUAUGCGGAGGAACACCGAUGGCGAAGGCAAUCCCCUGGGCCUGUACUGACGCUCAUGCACGAAAGCGUGGGGAGCAAACAGGAUUAGAUACCCGAGUAGUCCCUGUCUCUUAUAC
RNAcentral lists this ribosomal RNA (301 nucleotides) under uncultured bacterium. RNAcentral describes it as "partial 16S ribosomal RNA". It matches the Rfam family "Bacterial small subunit ribosomal RNA", at positions 509 to 807 of the family's 1533-position model. The record is from RNAcentral.